Molecule: ribosomal RNA, 374 nt
Filed under: Meloidogyne enterolobii
Lineage: Eukaryota; Metazoa; Nematoda; Chromadorea; Rhabditida; Meloidogynidae
Description: partial 16S ribosomal RNA
Source: RNAcentral
AUUAUUUUAAGAUUAUUUUUUAUUGUUGAAAAAAUUAAAAAUAAAUUGUUUUUAACAAAAAUUAAAAUUUAUAAUAUUUCAUUUUUUGGUUUUUUGUUUUAAAUUAAAAUAAUAAAUAUGGGGGAAAAAAAAAUUUUGUUAUAAAUUAUAUUAGUUUAUUUUAAUUAAAAAUAUUUUUUAUUAAAUUUGUUUUUUUUAUUUUUUUAUAAAAAAUAUUAAUUUAAUUAUUAUUAUUGAGUUUAAUUUAGUUAUUUUUAAAAAAAUUUUGUAUAAAAUAAAUUUGAUAAUAAAUGUUUUUUAAAUUCUUUGGGGGUUUAGUUUAUGAUUUUUUGUUUCUGCUCAUUGUUAAAUAAAAGCACUUUUAGCGUGAUUGG